CGCCGGCGGCACCCCGGGAGGCCCUCCCAGCACUUUACCCUCAGAACGACGCCCCUGCGAGGAAGACCCUCCCCAGAGGCUCUGGUUAACCCGAAGCCUUGUGGCGGAGUGGGGGGGGUGGAGUUGGACCCCUGCCUCCCCUAGACUGCAAGGGGGGGCAUUUGCAAGGUUUCCCUGCCCUUCUGAGGGCGAGAACUGUAGACAGUCUCCUCCUGAGGGAAGAUUUGUCUUGAGAAGAUUACUGGGUCAUCCAUGGCAACCUGAGAGAAAUCCCACAAGGAGUGUGGCUCUGCUCUGUUCCAUUUUGCAGGAAGGCAUGAGGAAGAAAGAACAGAGACUCUGUCUUCAACUCCAGAAACACAAUGUCCUUCUGGCGACAGGUGAGGACUAAAGCAGCAGCAAAAAAGUUUUCAGAGCCCCUUUGAACGCAGAUAAAAGUGGAGAGUAUCUGGAGUCCCUUACUGGACACAAGGCUGGCCGGCCACAAGUUGGUGUCCCCGGUGACAUGCAGUUGACAGGGAUGUGUUAGAAGGUCUGGGGUGGCUUUUGGAAAAGGAGGAGGCAGAUUUCUGGACUGAGAGAGAACGAGGAGGUUGUGUGGGGCAUUGCUGUUCUAUCCUGCUGGUGAUCUUUGUGAUGCAUGAAUGCUCUCCUGAAGAGCUUCCCAGGAACCUCUGGCCAGCCAUCCACCAUGAAGCAGGAGACCGUCCUGGUCGGUGGCCCUUGGUCUGACUGAGGCAGGAAGGCAGCUCUUCCGCCACAUGGGCUGCAAGCAACACAGAUGCCUAGUUUGGCUGGGUUGCUGCUGUGUCCGCUUCCUUUGCAAUCCCCCACUUGCCCAUUUUAGCUGUCUCUACGAUCCUUAAUAAACUCAUCUUUGAUUUACUAUAAUUGGACA
RNAcentral lists this long non-coding RNA (898 nucleotides) under Pogona vitticeps (central bearded dragon). Its description in RNAcentral is "lncRNA (ENSPVIG00000009927.1)". Lineage: Eukaryota; Metazoa; Chordata; Lepidosauria; Squamata; Agamidae. The record is from RNAcentral.